Arachis ipaensis is the source of this 129-nucleotide non-coding RNA. The record is from RefSeq and is a predicted model, not a curated record. Lineage: Eukaryota; Viridiplantae; Streptophyta; Magnoliopsida; Fabales; Fabaceae.
CUACGUCGCAAGACAUGCAUAUGAUAAUUAUGUGCGCAUAUUAUAAUAGGUGCGAUCAUACCAGCACUAAUGCACCGGAUCCCAUAAGAACUACGCAGUUAAGCGUGCUAGGGCGAGAGUAGUACGAGG